CCUACGGGUGGCAGCAGUGGGGAAUAUUGGACAAUGGGCGGGAGCCUGAACCAGCCAAGCCGCGUGAAGGAAGAAGGCGCCAAGCGUCGUAAACUUCUUUUGUCGGGGAACAAAGGGCGCCACGUGUGGCGUUGUGAGUGUACCCGAAGAAAAAGCAUCGGCUAACUCCGUGCCAGCAGCCGCGGUAAUACGGAGGAUUCAAGCGUUAUCCGGAUUUAUUGGGUUUAAAGGGUGCGUAGGCGGUUCGAUAAGUUAGAGGUGAAAUCCCGGGGCUCAACUCCGGCACUGCCUCUGAUACUGUCGGGCUAGAGUUUAGUUGCGGUAGGCGGAAUGUAUGGUGUAGCGGUGAAAUGCAUAGAGAUCAUACAGAACACCGAUUGCGAAGGCAGCUUACCAAACUACGACUGACGUUGAGGCACGAAAGCGUGGGGAGCAAACAGGAUUAGAUACCCCUGUAGUC
Molecule: ribosomal RNA, 460 nt
Filed under: uncultured bacterium
Lineage: Bacteria
Description: partial 16S ribosomal RNA
Rfam family: Bacterial small subunit ribosomal RNA
Source: RNAcentral